AUUGAACGCUGGCGGCAUGCUUUACACAUGCAAGUCGAACGUCAGCGCUGGCUUCGGCCUGGCGGCUAGUGGCGAACGGGUGAGUCAUGCCUCGGAACGUGCCCCGUAGUGGGGGAUAGCCCGGCGCAAGCCGGAUUACUACCUCAUACGAUCUGACGGUGAACGCGGGGGACCGAAAGGCCUCGCGCUUUUGGAGCGGCCGGUGUCUGAUUAGCUAGUUGGUGGGGUAAAGGCUUACCAAGGCGUCGAUCCGUAGCUGGUCUGAGAGGACGACCAGCCACACGGGGACGGAGACACGGCCCAGACUACUACGGGAGGCAGCAGUGGGGAAUUUUGGACAAUGGGGGCAACCCUGAUCCAGCCAUGCCGCGUGCGGGAAGAAGGCCUUCGGGUUGUAAAACGCUUUUGUUCGGGAAGAAAUCCUCUGGGCUAAUACCCCGGGGGGAUGACGGUACCGGAAGAAUAAGCACCGGCUAACUACGUG
Molecule: ribosomal RNA, 484 nt
Filed under: uncultured bacterium
Lineage: Bacteria
Description: partial 16S ribosomal RNA
Rfam family: Bacterial small subunit ribosomal RNA
Source: RNAcentral